UACGUAGGUGGCAAGCGUUGUCCGGAUUUACUGGGCGUAAAGAGCGCGCAGGCGGUCGUACAAGUCGCGUGUGAAAGCCCCCGGCUCAACUGGGGAGGGUCACGCGAUACUGAUCGACUCGAAGGCAGGAGAGGGUAGUGGAAUUCCCGGUGUAGUGGUGAAAUGCGUAGAUAUCGGGAGGAACACCAGUGGCGAAGGCGACUACCUGGCCUGUUCUUGACGCUGAGGCGCGAAAGCUAGGGGAGCAAACGGG
This 253-nucleotide ribosomal RNA is filed under the name uncultured bacterium. Its description in RNAcentral is "partial 16S ribosomal RNA". It matches the Rfam family "Bacterial small subunit ribosomal RNA", at positions 524 to 776 of the family's 1533-position model. The record is from RNAcentral.